Molecule: ribosomal RNA, 505 nt
Filed under: uncultured bacterium
Lineage: Bacteria
Description: partial 16S ribosomal RNA
Rfam family: Bacterial small subunit ribosomal RNA
Source: RNAcentral
GACGAACGCUGGCGGCGUGCCUAAUACAUGCAAGUCGAACGCACAGUUUAUACCGUAGCUUGCUACACUAUAGACUGUGAGUUGCGAACGGGUGAGUAACGCGUAGGUAACCUGCCUGGUAGCGGGGGAUAACUAUUGGAAACGAUAGCUAAUACCGCAUAAUAUUAAUUAUUGCAUGAUAAUUAAUUGAAAGGUGCAAUUGCACCACUACCAGAUGGACCUGCGUUGUAUUAGCUAGUAGGUGAGGUAACGGCUCACCUAGGCGACGAUACAUAGCCGACCUGAGAGGGUGAUCGGCCACGCUGGGACUGGAACACGGCCCAGACUCCUACGGGAGGCAGCAGUAGGGGAUCUUCGGCAAUGGACGAAAGUCUGACCGAGCAACGCCGCGUGAGUGAAGAAGGUAUUCGGAUCGUAAAGCUCUGUUGUAAGAGAAGAACGGGUGUGUGAGUGGAAAGUUCACACUGUGACGGUAUCUUACCAGAAAGGGACGGCUAACUACGUG